AACGCACGAGACCUGCGGACCUGCGGAGGGAUCAUUACUGAGUUUCACAACUCUCUAACCCUGUGUGAACUGAAGUCUGGUUGCUCAGGCAGGCGGCCCCCGGGGGGAGCCGCAGCUUCUCUGAAGCGCCUGCCGGAGGAUACCUAAACUCGUUUUAACAUAUAAUCUUCUGAGUAAUAAAAAAAAAAUGAAUCAAAACUUUUAACAACGGAUCUCU
This 217-nucleotide unclassified non-coding RNA is filed under the name soil metagenome. Its description in RNAcentral is "partial contains 5.8S ribosomal RNA, internal transcribed spacer 2, and large subunit ribosomal RNA". The record is from RNAcentral.